UAUAUUUCAAUGCUUUUCCAUGGAUUGAAUCAAAUGAUUCUUCAGCCUUAUAAUGUUUUCUGUAGUACUCACCAAUAUUGAAGAACAUCUGUAAGCGAAGACUUAUCUUAUUAAAUCAUAAUUAUGAAGUGAAUACUGUUAACAAUGAAACUUUUCAAAAAUAUGUGUCAUCAGAGUUGCUGACACCUGUAAGUCAGCUUCUGAGAGUCUCGGAGCUUGCAUAGACUGAAUGAAUUUUAGAGAAAGAGACUCCUCCGCCCCCUGGAAAUCAAGAUAUAAAAAAAGAAAAUUUGAUGGGAACCACCAUUAUCAAGAAGGAGACCACAUUUCCAAAAUGGUUGUUACGGCGAGUCGACUACAUUUCCCUGCGUCACAUUUUGGAGCUUCGUGACCCCAGGAAUC
Harmonia axyridis is the source of this 402-nucleotide long non-coding RNA. RefSeq lists it as uncharacterized. NCBI's taxonomy places the organism in Eukaryota, Metazoa, Arthropoda, Insecta, Coleoptera, Coccinellidae. The transcript has 4 exons. The record is from RefSeq and is a predicted model, not a curated record.